UAAUGCAGUCGACGAACUCUGGUAUUGAUUGGUGCUUGCAUCAUGAUUUACAUUUGAGUGAGUGGCGAACUGGUGAGUAACACGUGGGAAACCUGCCCAGAAGCGGGGGAUAACACCUGGAAACAGAUGCUAAUACCGCAUAACAACUUGGACCGCAUGGUCCGAGUUUGAAAGAUGGCUUCGGCUAUCACUUUUGGAUGGUCCCGCGGCGUAUUAGCUAGAUGGUGGGGUAACGGCUCACCAUGGCAAUGAUACGUAGCCGACCUGAGAGGGUAAUCGGCCACAUUGGGACUGAGACACGGCCCAAACUCCUACGGGAGGCAGCAGUAGGGAAUCUUCCACAAUGGACGAAAGUCUGAUGGAGCAACGCCGCGUGAGUGAAGAAGGGUUUCGGCUCGUAAAACUCUGUUGUUAAAGAAGAACAUAUCUGAGAGUAACUGUUCAGGUAUUGACGGUAUUUAACCAGAAAGCCACGGCUAACUACGUGCCAGCAGCCGCGGUAAUACGUAGGUGGCAAGCGUUGUCCGGAUUUAUUGGGCGUAAAGCGAGCGCAGGCGGUUUUUUAAGUCUGAUGUGAAAGCCUUCGGCUCAACCGAAGAAGUGCAUCGGAAACUGGGAAACUUGAGUGCAGAAGAGGACAGUGGAACUCCAUGUGUAGCGGUGAAAUGCGUAGAUAUAUGGAAGAACACCAGUGGCGAAGGCGGCUGUCUGGUCUGUAACUGACGCUGAGGCUCGAAAGUAUGGGUAGCAAACAGGAUUAGAUACCCUGGUAGUCCAUACCGUAAACGAUGAAUGCUAAGUGUUGGAGGGUUUCCGCCCUUCAGUGCUGCAGCUAACGCAUUAAGCAUUCCGCCUGGGGAGUACGGCCGCAAGGCUGAAACUCAAAGGAAUUGACGGGGGCCCGCACAAGCGGUGGAGCAUGUGGUUUAAUUCGAAGCUACGCGAAGAACCUUACCAGGUCUUGACAUACUAUGCAAAUCUAAGAGAUUAGACGUUCCCUUCGGGGACAUGGAUACAGGUGGUGCAUGGUUGUCGUCAGCUCGUGUCGUGAGAUGUUGGGUUAAGUCCCGCAACGAGCGCAACCCUUAUUAUCAGUUGCCAGCAUUAAGUUGGGCACUCUGGUGAGACUGCCGGUGACAAACCGGAGGAAGGUGGGGAUGACGUCAAAUCAUCAUGCCCCUUAUGACUUGGGCUACCACGUGCUACAUGGAUGGU
This 1215-nucleotide ribosomal RNA is filed under the name Lactiplantibacillus plantarum. RNAcentral's name for it is "bacterial SSU rRNA". It matches the Rfam family "Bacterial small subunit ribosomal RNA", at positions 49 to 1237 of the family's 1533-position model. The record is from RNAcentral. Lineage: Bacteria; Bacillati; Bacillota; Bacilli; Lactobacillales; Lactobacillaceae.